CAAGCCCUCUUAUUUCUA
This 18-nucleotide transfer RNA is filed under the name Rhinolophus philippinensis (large-eared horseshoe bat). RNAcentral's name for it is "partial tRNA-Ile". Lineage: Eukaryota; Metazoa; Chordata; Mammalia; Chiroptera; Rhinolophidae. The record is from RNAcentral.